UUUUGCCUAACAUCAACAUCAUUGCAAGAUAAUUUUGCAAGUUUUGUCCCUAUCCUUCUCCCUGAAAGGACAUUGCAAGAUAAUAAGGUAAUGCCUGUUAUUUGUAUGUUAUUUUCACUGUUAUAUGACUUUAUUUGCAUUGUAUUCACCCUUUAAUAUAUACAUUUUUAUACACAUUGCUUGACCGGAGAACUGCACUGCAAAAUUUGGAGGUGUGUGAAUUUUGAAGGAUGGCUGUGUUUCAGUUUGCAUGUUGUUUCAGAAAAGUAUGAAUUUGUAUGAAUUUAAAUGUAGACUGCAUCAAAUUUCUUCCCACCCCCAGACGUAGUAGUAGAGCUCAGGAAUUGCAUGCAAAAGGUCCCAGUUUCAAUUCCUGGCAUCUCCAGGCUUUGCUAGGAGAGACCCUGGAAUACCAUUGCUGGUCAGUGUAAACAACGAGCUAAAUGGACCAAUGGUCUAAGCAUAAGGUAGCUUUCUACAUUCCUAUGAGAGGAGAAUAGGAUUGUCUAAACUGUUCUUUGGUGGGCCAGGUCUCUGUGUCUCUUCUCCAAAUCAUGGCCUUCUCCAUCCCCAUAGCAGCUUUCUCCUCUGACAGAUGCCAAAUGUGUGUUUACCCUUGCAUGUUAAGAUUUGGAGCACAGCAUCUGGCAAGGAAAAGGUUAUGCAUUUCUCUACCACCACCAUUCCACCCUCCUCCUCCUCCUCCUCCUCCUCCUCCUCCUCCUCCUCCUCCAACUUUUCACUUAGAAUGCUUCCCUCCCCAAGGCAGCUUCUCUUUGCUGAAAGUGACCAUCAGGGUGUCAGAACUGGGACAAGGUCUGAGCUGAGAGCAGUGAGGCAAAGCAAUAGCCAGGACCGGUGAGUAUGUUAGAACCAAAGGAUGAAAUCUGGAGAAGGGAUUUAGCUUGGUGGUAGAGCAUCCACCUUAGAUGCCGAAGGUCACAGGUUCAAUCCCUGGUGUCUCCAGGUAGCGGUGGGGAAACUCCUGCCUGAAACCCUGUAGAGAUGCUGUUAGUGAGUUAGAGUGGACAAUACUGAGCUCCAACAAUCUGAUUUUGUAAAUCAGGAGGCAGAGUUGGAGAGCAAGGCAGAAUCGGGGACGAAAUGACACCAGAACUUGGGAUUUCCUUGUUGCCCAAGCAAGGGCUCAACUGGGACAGGAAGACUUCUUCUACUCCAUCCUGUCCAGGAGGGUCCAGUAGCCCAACGGAGCAGACAGAGUCAAUCCAGGAUACUUCACAGAGAAAAUGCCACCUGAAGUCCAGUAGUUGACCACCACCUCGGGUGGGUGUCCACAGAUCUCAGCAGUUACCAACAUGGGUGCUCAUCUGAAUAUAACGUGUAGCUCGCCCCUGAGCCAAAGGGGUCAAUCAGGCCACCCUGCUCUCUGCCCCCUUUUCUGCCUUCUUGCUUCUUUCCACAGAUCAGCACACUUAGCCUGGGGCAGCCAGGGUUGCUCCAUAAGCUGCCCUUCCCCCAAAUAAUACUUAGUAUGUUGCCUGAAUAAAAAAAGACGC
Molecule: non-coding RNA, 1517 nt
Organism: Podarcis lilfordi (Lilford's wall lizard)
Lineage: Eukaryota; Metazoa; Chordata; Lepidosauria; Squamata; Lacertidae
Source: the annotation of a GenBank genome assembly